GAUGAACGCUAGCGGCAGGCUUAACACAUGCAAGUCGAGGGGCAUCACGGGUAGCAAUACCUGGUGGCGACCGGCGCAAGGGUGCGUAACGCGUGAGCAACAUGCCCUAUACAGGGGGAUAAUCCAGGGAAACUUGGUCUAAUAUCCCAUAGCAUUUAGAGGUGGCAUCACCAUUAAAUUAAAGCUUCGGUGGUAUAGGAUUGGCUCGCGUGACAUUAGCUAGAUGGUGGGGUAACGGCUCACCAUGGCUAUGAUGUCUAGGGGUUCUGAGAGGAAGACCCCCCACACUGGGACUGAGACACGGCCCAGACUCCUACGGGAGGCAGCAGUGAGGAAUAUUGGACAAUGGAUGGAAAUCUGAUCCAGCCAUGCCGCGUGCAGGAAGACGGCCCUAUGGGUUGUAAACUGCUUUUAACAGGGAAGAAAAUGCUAUACGCGAUAUAGUACUGACGGUACCUGAGGAAUAAGCACCGGCUAACU
This 480-nucleotide ribosomal RNA is filed under the name uncultured bacterium. RNAcentral describes it as "bacterial SSU rRNA". It matches the Rfam family "Bacterial small subunit ribosomal RNA", at positions 28 to 502 of the family's 1533-position model. The record is from RNAcentral.